RNAcentral lists this ribosomal RNA (253 nucleotides) under uncultured bacterium. Its description in RNAcentral is "partial 16S ribosomal RNA". It matches the Rfam family "Bacterial small subunit ribosomal RNA", at positions 524 to 776 of the family's 1533-position model. The record is from RNAcentral.
UACGUAGGGCGCAAGCGUUGUCCGGAAUUAUUGGGCGUAAAGAGCUCGUAGGCGGCUUGUCGCGUCUGCUGUGAAAACCUAAGGCUCAACCUUGGGCUUGCAGUGGGUACGGGCAGACUAGAGUGCGGUAGGGGUGACUGGAAUUCCUGGUGUAGCGGUGGAAUGCGCAGAUAUCAGGAGGAACACCGAUGGCGAAGGCAGGUCACUGGGCCGCAACUGACGCUGAGGAGCGAAAGCAUGGGGAGCGAACAGG